RNAcentral lists this long non-coding RNA (1396 nucleotides) under Calidris pugnax (ruff). RNAcentral's name for it is "lncRNA (ENSCPUG00000013922.1)". Lineage: Eukaryota; Metazoa; Chordata; Aves; Charadriiformes; Scolopacidae. The record is from RNAcentral.
GAAUUAUGGCUCUUUGCCACCUCUGAGUAUCUGCUCUGAGCGCUUUGGUCUUUAAUUGUGUGUAGAUUUUCUGUAGGAGCCUGUUUGCUGCAGAGACCUGCCGUGAGACACCACCCUGCAGGACUCUUCCCAGAUCACCCCGGCCUUUCCACCUGCGGAGCUGAGAUGGCUCCUCCCUUGAUUGAAAGGCAUUUUCAAAAGGACCCACCAAGGGAUCUGCCUCUUUCCUCCCCUUUCAGCUCAUCCCAGCUCCUCGUGGCAUCACUUUCCAGACAGAGCUGGGCUGGACUCCGGGGUACUCUGAAGAGGCAGAGUUACCAAGUUAUUGAUGCUGCCAACAGAAACUGGCUGUUUCUAGUCUCCAUGGCCUUGUCUUCCAGCAAUGCUGCUGCCUGAGGAGCCAGCCCCAUCCUGACCCACCUGGUCCUGGACCCUUCCCAGCCUGGGCACAGUGCAGAGCUGCAAGGUGGGUGUGUGAAAAGAACCUGGCAGAAUGAAAUACUGCUCACACCAGCGUGGGUACAACCACAAAACCUGUCCCGGGUGAAGCCAGGCAGUUAUCCACAGCUCUGGGUUAUGCUGUCAUCCCGGAUCAAGACAAAUUAGUGUGCACGGAGGCAAUCAGAAGUAAUUACUCUUUAAGAAACAAUAGGCGUCACUCUGUGGCUUCUGUCUGACAGCUGAAGAACCUGGCUCCCUGUGAAAAACCCACACAGCUUAAUCUCCUCCUGUCACAUCCUCUUUCCCUGUCCUCCCUGGGUAAAUGUUUGUGCUGCCGCGGCGAGAGGCACCGGGGCAGCGGGACAACGGGGCCCUGGGUCCAGGGACAGCAGCGGCACCCGGUGCCCUCAGCCGUCCCUCAAGGGGAGCAAAGGGGGUCUGCAGGUACAGAACAGCACCUCCGCCGGGGCUCGGGUGGUCCCUUCCUGGAGUAAAUCCUGCUUCCAUGAAGUCAGCUCCUGAGGCUGCAGCACAACAGCUAUAGAUAGGAAAUGAAAUGAUGGGAAGCGAGCACAGGGACCUGGCUGUUCUUCUGCUCCUCAGGGGAGACACUCAAUGGCAUUCCAACUGAUUCAUCUUAGGAGUGUAAAUAUACCUGCUGGAGCCUGCUUUUGCCACCCCUGUUGUCAUUUUUAGGUGUUGUCUUAAAGACUAAACCCUUCCUAAAGGCUCCAGUGGCACCUUUGAAAUCUUAUAGAAUCUGAAGUCAGCGUGUGUCAGUCGUUGGCUGUUUUACCUUCUCCAGGAGGAGCUGCAGGAUGUGUCUGAGUGAAGAUGAAGCCACAGAGUGGCAGACUGAGUCAUCCUAGGAAAUACCUGUAUCUUUGUGCAGUGGAAGCAAACAGGGUGUUUAUUAGCCUUUAUUACUAGUAUUAAUUAAGCAUUCUACCAAGGG